AGAGUUUGAUCAUGGCUCAGAACGAACGUUGGCGGCGUGGAUUAGGCAUGCAAGUCGAACGAAUCCCAUCUGGGUAACUGGGUGGGGGAAGUGGCGAAAGGGGCAGUAAGGCGUGGGUAACCUGCCCCGGAGUUGGGGAUAGCCUCUCUAACGAGAGGGUAAUACCGAAUGCCAUGGCGGGGGGGCCUCCCUCUGUCAUGAAAGCUCCGGCGCUCCGGGAGGGGCCCACGUGGUAUUAGCUAGAUGGCAGGGUAACGGCCUACCAUGGCAAAGAUGCCUAGCAGGUGUGAGAGCACGACCUGCGCCACUGGCACUGGGACACUGGCCAGACUCCUACGGGAGGCUGCAGUCGAGGAUCUUCGGCAAUGGGCGCAAGCCUGACCGAGCGACGCCGCGUGUGCGAUGAAGGCCUUCGGGUUGUAAAGCACUGUCGGGGGGGAGAAAACCCGCAAGGGUUGAUCGACCCCCGGAGGAAGCACGGGCUAAGUUCGUGCCAGCAGCCGCGGUAAGACGAACCGUGCUAACGUUGUUCGGAAUCACUGGGCUUAAAGGGCGCGUAGGCGGGCCAGCAAGUCAGGGGUGAAAUCCCACGGCUCAACCGUGGAAGAGCCUUUGAUACUGCGGGCCUCGAGGGAGGUAGGGGCGUGCGGAACUUCCGGUGGAGCGGUGAAAUGCGUAGAUAUCGGAAGGAACAUCGGUGGCGAAACGGCGCGCUGGACCUCUUCUGACGCUGAGGCGCGAAAGCCAGGGGAGCAAACGGGAUUAGAUACCCUAGUAGUCC
Molecule: ribosomal RNA, 781 nt
Filed under: uncultured bacterium
Lineage: Bacteria
Description: bacterial SSU rRNA
Rfam family: Bacterial small subunit ribosomal RNA
Source: RNAcentral